RNAcentral lists this long non-coding RNA (826 nucleotides) under Homo sapiens (human). The record is from RNAcentral. Lineage: Eukaryota; Metazoa; Chordata; Mammalia; Primates; Hominidae.
UUUAUUCUAUCUGUUUCCAGAGAUCAUCAUUUCUUUAUGUAGAUCCAAGUUUCUCUCAGGUAUCAUAUUUCUUCUGCUUACAGAACGUCCACUGGUAAUGAAUUUUCUCUCUCUCUUUUUUUUUUUUUGAUCUGAAAAAGUGUAUUUCCUUCAUGUUUGAAAGAUGUAUUUGCUAGGUAUAGAAUUCUGGAUUGGCAGUUUUUUGUCUUUCAGCAUUUUAAAGAUAUGACUCUAUUAUCUUCUGGUUAUAUAAUUUCUGAUGAGAAGUCUUCUGUAAUUCUUUGUUCCUCUGUAGGGAGUGUGCCUUUUUCCUCUAGAUGCCUUCAAUAUUUUCUCUUUAUCUUUGGUUUUCAGCAAUUUGAAUAUGAUAUAUUAGGUUGUGUUUGCAUGUGCUUCUUUGUUGUGUUUGUAUAUUGGCAUUUAAUCUUUUCUGGAUUCUGUGAGUUUCUUGGCUCUGUGGUUUGAUAUCUUUCAUUAUUUUAGACAGGUUCCUAGGUGGGAAGGGGUGGGUCCUUGGUGAAACCCCACCUUCAAGCCAGGGAUGACCUGAAGCCUGACAGCCAGGCCUCCAGUUCUGUGUGGAGUCCACUACCUAAAGUGAGAACUUCCUUGAUGCCUUUUGGCCAAUCAGAUGGUGCUUUUUCCUGACCCGGCCAGAUUCAUGGACUCGUUGGGACUACCUGCCUGCAGAUAGGAGCUACCCACUUUGGGUCUCCUCUCCUCUGAGAGCUGUUUGGUCAGCCGAUAAAGCUGUUCUCUGCCUUGCUCACCUUCCAGUUGUCUGUGUAACCUCAUUCUUCACGGAUGCUGGUCAAGAACUCAGGAC